RNAcentral lists this ribosomal RNA (378 nucleotides) under uncultured bacterium. RNAcentral's name for it is "bacterial SSU rRNA". It matches the Rfam family "Bacterial small subunit ribosomal RNA", at positions 28 to 408 of the family's 1533-position model. The record is from RNAcentral.
GACGAACGCUGGCGGCGUGCUUAACACAUGCAAGUCGAGCGGUAAGGCUCCUUCGGGAGUACACGAGCGGCGAACGGGUGAGUAACACGUGAGCAAUCUGCCCAUCUCUUUGGAAUAAGCGUUGGAAACGACGUCUAAUGCCGAAUACGACCUCCUUUCGCAUGAUCGGAGGUGGAAAGCUCCGGCGGAGAUGGAUGAGCUCGCGGCCUAUCAGCAGUUGGUGAGGUAACGGCCCACCAAGGCGACGACGGGUAGCCGGCCUGAGAGGGUGACCGGCCACACUGGGACUGAGACACGGCCCAGACUCCUACGGGAGGCAGCAGUGGGGAAUAUUGGACAAUGGGCGAAGACCUGAUCCAGCAACGCCGCCGUGAGGGA